This 96-nucleotide non-coding RNA is filed under the name Sediminispirochaeta smaragdinae. RNAcentral describes it as "Azaaromatic sequence". It matches the Rfam family "azaaromatic riboswitch aptamer (yjdF RNA)". RNAcentral also lists the same sequence under 1 other name. The record is from RNAcentral. Lineage: Bacteria; Pseudomonadati; Spirochaetota; Spirochaetia; Spirochaetales; Spirochaetaceae.
CAUUGGCAAAGAAAAAACACGGCCCUGUAGGUAGUCAGGGCGGUCCCUUCCGGAUCCCGUAACCAUCCUUGGAUGUCCGUCUUUGCCUCUGGAGUG